RNAcentral lists this ribosomal RNA (1194 nucleotides) under Triticum aestivum (bread wheat). RNAcentral's name for it is "partial small subunit ribosomal RNA". Lineage: Eukaryota; Viridiplantae; Streptophyta; Magnoliopsida; Poales; Poaceae. The record is from RNAcentral.
AUGAACACCAAUGUGCUCUCGUCUGAAGGAACUCCACAACCACAGGGAGAUCUAAUGGAGACUCCAGUCUGCGCUUUGGUGGACGCCAUGUUCAGACUUCCUGCAAAGCUCGAUAGGUUACUGGUCAGUCACGGCCACAUGCUGCCCCGGGGGGCGGUGGACGAGAUACCUCUCAUCAAGCAAGAUCUUGAGAAGAUUGUAGCCAUCCUCCAGGAACACGGCGACUCGGGAGCAGAGGACUGUUCUAUGACGGUCAAUUGCCUGACCAAGGAGGUGCGCGAGCUGUCCUACGACAUGGAGGACACCGUCGACCAGUAUAAGCACGCCGCUGAUUCCAGGAGAGGAAUAUUAUCUCCUCGCCGCAAGAAGUACAAGAUCACUCGCGGUAGGAGCAAGCCCACAUCGGGGCUGCGGGAGAAGCUCAAGUGGCGUCUAUGGAUGGCCAACAAGAUCAUGGAGUUCAGUGUGCGCUCCCAGGAGGCGCUUCAGCGGUACAGCUUCUUUAACCACCUUGGUGACAAUGGUAGCAGUGCUGCUGCUUCUGCUUCUACUAGAUGUGAUGAUGCAUCUUUCCGCUCUUGGCAUCCCACGCCAUAUGGGGAGCUUGUCGGUAUCGACGAAAAUGUGAAUAAGCUUGAAGCGUGGCUGGGUAAGGAUGGAGAGCAGAAGCUCAAGGUGGUGUCUGUUGUUGGAUCUGGAGGGAUUGGUAAGACCACGCUUGUCAAAGAGCUGUACCGUAGAAUCAGAGGGCAAUUUGAGUGCCGGGCAUUUGUGCGUUUGUCCCGAAAGCCUGAUAUCAGGAGGCUUCUCAUCAGCAUGCUCUCACAAAUUCGGCCACACCAGCCUCCUCACACUUGGAAGGUGCAUAGCCUAAUUGCUGACAUCAGGGCACAUCUCCAACAUAGAAGGUACUUGAUCGUAAUUGAUGAUGUAUGGGCUACGCAAACAUGGGAUAUCGUUAGCCGUGCUUUGCCGGGUGUUAAUCUUUGCAGCGGCAUACUUAUAACUACAGAAAUCAAUGAUGUAGCUCUGAAAUGUUGUGGUUAUGACUGUAAAUAUGUUCUCACGGUGAAACCACUUAUUGACGAUGAUUCAAGCAAAUUAUUUUUCAGCACAGCUUAUGGUCGUCGACUUGAAUGUCCACCAGAACUUGGUGAACUUUCAAAGAGUAUUAUAAGAAAAUCAAAGUUUUAA